AGAUGUGUUUAUCUAAUAAAGUAAUAAGUAAUAAGAAUCACUGCUCAAUUGAUAAAAUCAGAUCUUUAUAGAUUGACCCAUUCUCUAAUUACUGAGGUUUAAUUUCUAGUUUUUGCUAAUUACCGAGUCUCUAUCUCUAGGCCUAAUAAUUCCCUUAAUGCCCACAAACAUAAGUAGGUAGGAAUCAAAUUUCUAUGUAUCCACAAGGACCCUAUCUCAAAAUUUCCCAAACUGAAAUCACUUUUAUAUCCUAUUACCCAGAGCCUGAUUUAGUUUAGUUAUGUCUAAAUUGAGGGCAAGGUUGUCCAUUCAAGCCAGAAAACUUGACGUCAUCUUGGACAAUUUCAACAGCGCACACUCUCUUAAAAUUGUCUGCGUCGUUAGUAGAUUUUAAUCUCCAAAAUCAUUUUUUCAUCUUCUUUUCCAACUCCAUGGUACUGCUUCAUCACUGGAUGAUAGAGUUUCUUGAUUGACUGGUUCUGACUGUGAUGAACAAACUUCAUGAAAGAUCGGCCAUCCUGAAAGCCUACUCUUUGCUCAAGGCACGCAGAGAAAAAAACAGUGUCAGGAUGUUCAUGUUAAACAGUGAAUCCUAGAACACAGUUCAGAUGAUAAUAAAAAUCAAACACUGAUCCUGUGGAUUGUCCUGUCAACAUGUGAGUUCAGAUCACAACCGUGCCUGGUUUCAUGUGGAUAUAGGACACGUGUUUGGAAGGAGAAGGAUUUGAGAACAGGAAUGAACUCGUGUCAAUUUUAAGAGCUUGUGGAACCCCAGACCCUAAAAGCACCAGUAAGCUGUGUUUUAGGCUAAAAGGGCUUCUAACUUAUAGGGAUGUUUCCAGGUUAUCUUAGCCAACUCAGGACCCCCCAAGCCUCAUCUGAGUCUUACAGUCCUCUGGGUUGUGCAUAAGAUCCCUGCAGUGGGGGUGAGAAAAAAGGACAGCUGUCCAGUGACUAUUAGAUGGGGACAAGUGGUCAUUAGGUGUCAGCUGCUUGAACACCUGAUCAUUUUGGACACCUAUAUCUUAAUGGAUAUUGGGGAUCAACUUGCCCAAUCAAAUUGCUGGCUCUUCCUUUUUAGUUCCUAACAAGAUUUUAUCUUAAGUACAUUUGUAUCCUUCUAGGAUUACCAGGAAACAUCUGACUGCUUUCCCUUGACAAUUUAUAUCUAAGAGAGACUCAGGUCCUUAUACCUCCUGUGCAGGCGUGCACACAGGUAAGUUUGUUAUAGCUCCUUUUACUUGCUGAAGAAUACAACAAUAUAUGAGUCACCUCCUGACUGACAACCAGGUAUGUGAUUGUACAUAAAUAUAUCUAUAUCAUCUGUUUCUACACCUAGAUCUGUAUGUACUUCCUGAGCUUGUACCUUGACUCUUAAACAUUUAGACCUCUCCAAGGCCUGCACUUUAGACUUCUUUUUGGGAUUUUCCAGUGGGCAGGCAGUGCAGAGAGAGCCAGGGGCAUUUCUCAAAGAUCCACUACAGUCUAGGUCAGUAGAGGGUAAACUUCUUUUUCUAAACAGCCUGCUUAUAAAUAUUUUCAGCUUUGCAGGUCAUAUAGCCUCUGUCACAACUAAGGUAGCUGUGAACAAUAUGUAAAGGGAUAAAAGCUUUCCAAUAAUACUUUAUUUAUACUAACAAUCUGCAGAUUGGGUGUGGUCCUUGGGCUGUUGUUUGCUAGUUUCUGGACCACUGGAAGGCUCUGUCUUCAUCCUUCACCCCUCUUUGAGUGAAAGCAGGUUUUGGUGUGUUCUCCCAAAUCUUUAUACCUUAUACCUGAGUCUUAACUUAUGAAAUAAACAACAACAACUAAGACUGUGUGUCUUGCAUCCUUCUCUGCACUGUCAUCACACCCUUCUCUGAGGCCCCGGUGUGUGCAGCUGACUAUAGGGCAGAAGGGCAAACAUGACAGGGAUGAGUAGGGAAAAGCCCAGGGGAUCAUCUGUCAAAGGUUCCCUAAUGUCCUAUUUUUGUCUGCAUGCUUUUUUUUUUUUUUUGCUUACUAUUUCUUUUUUUGGAAAUUUCUUUAUGUGAUGAAUUCUACUUUGCAUUUAGGACUGACUGCGUAUUUUUGGCUCCUCUCCAGACCCUAAAGGGAAACAUUUGGAGUCAAUCACAUGCUUUGAUGCAGUGCUGAGUAAUGAAGUGUUCCCAUGUCUAAGUAAGAGCCAACUGUGUAAUUGAAUAUCUUCCAGAUUGUAUCAAGAUUGUAUCAAACAUCUUGAUAGAGAAUAAUGGUGACAACUUUGUUUAUAUAGUGUUUCUCAGCAUUAUUUUAUAAAUUGUUUCUAAGGAUGUGUCUCAUUAAUACUAAAAAUAUUCCCGUACUAAAUUCACACUUUUUUGUUAAUGUUGUUUUAAGAAAUCAAAAUCCCUUAUCAUCAUAUGUCAUCAUUAUUUAUUCCAGUCUGUGGAAUAAAUAUUAAGUCCAUGUUUAUGGAGAUUAUAUGCUAUCAAUUUUAGUAACAAUUACAGGUGAUGUACAUGUUAUAUCUCAAUUAUCCUUCUCCAAAGACCAGAGCUUCCUUGAAUAUUCCUAAAUCAUGAAAUAUUAUUAAUUAGCUAUACAAUAACAUACCCAUGACUCAAACAUAUUGAUGACUUAUCUACCUGUGGUUUUGAGCCAAGAAAAAGUACAAAGAGCAUUUUUAAUUCCUUUAUUUCCCUCAAGUAUUUACUCAUUUUCUCCUGAAGAAUAAAUACUGAAUGAAAUUGUCUAUAUCUGCAAUUACACUUUGAACUAUUUGAUAUCUGGAACUUUGUAUUUACCUUUGAUUUUUCUAAUAUUUAGAAGAGUUCUUAGAACAUAGUAGAUAAUCGGUAAUAUUGUUGAAAGUAACUGAUAUAAAAAUAAUGAUAUUGCAAAUUGAGUAAAGUUAUUUUCAAAAAGAUAGGAUAUUAUAUCAAGUUAAAAAUUUGGUGGUUUUGCCAUUAUGAGUAAAGACAAGUUCUAGAUUGGUUUUUGUUUCUGCAUCAAGUAUAUUAACAAUGAUCUUCAUUUUCAGCUUUAUUCUAGGAGGAGUGAGAACUUGACGCCUUUUCUGAAACAAGUUUAACGUAAACUUCUUCACAUUAAAUUUAGCAACGAAAUUACCAACUUAAUUUCAUUAAGAUUUUCUGGACCAACUUAUUUUUCAUAGAACCAAUUCUGUGCACUUACAUUUUAUCACUACAUGUAAGAGUUCAAAUUGAAAUAAUAACUACACUUGGCAUAAACAGGUGGGGAAGCAGAUACAACUGCUGUUAGUAGACCAAUAAUUCAUCUUUUAGGAGCAGAGAUGGGCAAUGUUCUAGAAAUAAUCUUGGAAGUCUUGAGAGUUCCACAUGUGGAAAUGGAAGGCCUCAGUGUGCUCAAAGUGACAGCUAAAGAUUAGCUCAGGGAGGUUUACUGUUUAUAAGAUAGGCUCUUGAUAACAAUGUUGUGAUCAAAAUAAUGAAGCCAGUGUUGAUGUAAUGAAUAAGAACUGGUGCGAUAAAUGUAUAUUUGGUGUCAGAAAUUUUCAAAAUGUUGAAAAUAUGAAAUCAUAAAAUAUUUUCACUCAAAAUCUGGGCAGUAAAUAUGAUUGUAUGUACAGCCAUGCAGCUAUUCUGAAAAGUAAUUAAAUUGCUAUUUAAGAUGAAUUUAUUAUUUCCCAUUCUAUAGAUUUGAGGAGGUGCAGGAAAAAAUACACUUUGGACUCCAAGAUAUUUUACCUAAAAGCGAAAUGUGUACUUAGUGUGGUAUUACAAUAACCCAAGCUUUGGAUUUGGGACCAAAAAAAUCUAUUUUCUCGCCUAUCAGUCUCUGAAGUAGAAAGAAUCCAGCAUUUCCAGUUGCAAAUGCAAUCAGAAGAGAAUUUUUUUACAUUCUUAUAACACCAAGAAUGUAUUUAUCAACUUGAAGAAAAUUCUCUGAAUUUCCUCUAAGUAAAAUAAAUACUGAUAUGUUAAAUGUUUUGUUGUUUACUAUCUCUAGUACUAUGCUCCCUUUGAGAUCUCAAUAACCAUUCCUAAUUCACCUUUCUGCUCAAAGGACUAUGAUUACUGCCCAUUGGAAAAGGCAAGAUGACAGGAAAACACAGGAAUUAGGGACGUUAUUAUUUCAAAUUGUUUUCUCAAGUGAUUUUUCUCUCAAUAUUCACCCCCAAUAAGAAGAAUUGAGGCAAUGUUGAAUCUAUUUUCCUUCUAGACUUUAACUUAAUUGUGUAUACUUGAAGAUUAAUUUUAUAAGAUUUGAUUCAGAUAAAAUAAUUUGUAAUCAAAUUUGAUUAAAAUUUGUAUUGCAAUUGUGCUGAGGCAGCCAAACCAGCACACAUGAUGAAAGCUUGAUAAAGCUGCUAUUAUUCUGUUACAGAAUGUUUUAAAUCCCUUCAGUUAUCACCUGUCAAUCUAACCCACGUGAGAAUGUGUAGUGAUGGCUUAUUCUAGCUCAUUGAUUGCUUCGUAGUCAUUUGAUAUAAAUGCUUCAGUUUUCCUAAUUUGCUUACCUUAUUUUGGCCACAUGUUAA
This 4486-nucleotide long non-coding RNA is filed under the name Sus scrofa (pig). RNAcentral describes it as "lncRNA (ENSSSCG00000057193.1)". Lineage: Eukaryota; Metazoa; Chordata; Mammalia; Artiodactyla; Suidae. The record is from RNAcentral.